Molecule: transfer RNA, 76 nt
Filed under: Methylobacterium mesophilicum
Lineage: Bacteria; Pseudomonadati; Pseudomonadota; Alphaproteobacteria; Hyphomicrobiales; Methylobacteriaceae
Description: tRNA-Pro
Rfam family: tRNA
About the family: Transfer RNA (tRNA) molecules are approximately 80 nucleotides in length. Their secondary structure includes four short double-helical elements and three loops (D, anti-codon, and T loops). Further hydrogen bonds mediate the characteristic L-shaped molecular structure. tRNAs have two regions of fundamental functional importance: the anti-codon, which is responsible for specific mRNA codon recognition, and the 3' end, to which the tRNAs corresponding amino acid is attached (by aminoacyl-tRNA synthetases). tRNAs cope with the degeneracy of the genetic code in two manners: having more than one tRNA (with a specific anti-codon) for a particular amino acid; and 'wobble' base-pairing, i.e. permitting non-standard base-pairing at the 3rd anti-codon position.
Source: RNAcentral
CGGAGCUUAGCGCAGUUGGUAGCGCACCGGAUUUGGGAUCCGGGGGUCGCCUGUUCGAGCCAGGCAGCUCCGACCA